UCAAAUACUGCAGGUUGGUGAUGUCCCUCAGUGUCUUAUCCAAAGUGGCAUUUCAGUUAAGCACGUGCUAGAAAGGCGUGUGUGGCGCCCACGGAUGUGAAAGGGUGCAUCUGAUUGAAAUGCACAAGAGUUAGACGAACCGUCGGCAUGUGACGACCAGGAAUGAGGACACGCUGGGACAUCGCAGCCCCACAAGGCGCCUCUGCAGGAUUCAGUAGGAUUAAGGUUUCCCCACAGAACACUUGAGUUCAUCGUUACUUUGCUGCCCCCUGCUGUGUGACUGCUGUCAUUACAGGUCAGCCAAGCAAAACUUUAAAUUCAACUUGCACGUUUUCAGUUUCUUUGUUUUUAUUUUACAGUAGUCUUUGGGAAAUAUCAAAGCAGUAAGAUAAUGAUAAAAAUGUACAUUUUUAUAUAAAGUGACU
Long non-coding RNA from Scatophagus argus, 425 nucleotides. RefSeq lists it as uncharacterized. The record is from RefSeq and is a predicted model, not a curated record. The transcript is spliced from 2 exons. Lineage: Eukaryota; Metazoa; Chordata; Actinopteri; Scatophagidae.